RNAcentral lists this ribosomal RNA (116 nucleotides) under Pogona vitticeps (central bearded dragon). Lineage: Eukaryota; Metazoa; Chordata; Lepidosauria; Squamata; Agamidae. The record is from RNAcentral.
UUACCCUCCCACCCUGAACACAACCGAGCGCCUUUGAUUUUGGAAGCUAAGCAGGGUCGGGCUGGGCUGGUACUUAGGGUGGGAGACCGUCUGGGAAUAACGGGUCUCCAGGUAAA